Molecule: ribosomal RNA, 447 nt
Filed under: uncultured bacterium
Lineage: Bacteria
Description: partial 16S ribosomal RNA
Rfam family: Bacterial small subunit ribosomal RNA
Source: RNAcentral
AACGAACGCUGGCGGCAGGCUUAACACAUGCAAGUCGAGCGCCCCGCAAGGGGAGCGGCAGACGGGUGAGUAACACGUGGGAAUCUACCCGUCCCUACGGAACAACUCCGGGAAACUGGAGCUAAUACCGUAUACGCCCUUCGGGGGAAAGAUUUAUCGGGGAUAGAUGAGCCCGCGUUGGAUUAGCUAGUUGGUGGGGUAAAGGCCUACCAAGGCGACGAUCCAUAGCUGGUCUGAGAGGAUGAUCAGCCACAUUGGGACUGAGACACGGCCCAAACUCCUACGGGAGGCAGCAGUGGGGAAUAUUGGACAAUGGGCGCAAGCCUGAUCCAGCCAUGCCGCGUGAAUGAUGAAGGCCUUAGGGUUGUAAAGUUCUUUCGCCGAUGAAGAUAAUGACGGUAGUCGGAGAAGAAGCCCCGGCUAACUUCGUGCCAGCAGCCGCGGUAA